GGCCUGAUGGUCUAGUAGUAUGAUUCCUUGUUAGGGUUCUGGCAUUGGUAGUUCUGAUCUAUCGAGGAGGUCCCGGGUUCAAUUCCCGGUCAGGCCC
Non-coding RNA from Marasmius sp. AFHP31, 97 nucleotides. Lineage: Eukaryota; Fungi; Basidiomycota; Agaricomycetes; Agaricales; Marasmiaceae. The record is from the annotation of a GenBank genome assembly.